RNAcentral lists this long non-coding RNA (136 nucleotides) under Sinocyclocheilus anshuiensis. Its description in RNAcentral is "lncRNA (ENSSANG00000020117.1)". The record is from RNAcentral. Lineage: Eukaryota; Metazoa; Chordata; Actinopteri; Cypriniformes; Cyprinidae.
UAAACGCUGGGCAUGGGGACCCAACGGCACCGCUCAAGCCCAUCAUGGCCAUCUGAACUCUAUGGACAAAUUAAAAGUGAAUCGCCUCCUCACACACACACACUCCUCACUGGCUCACUGUAACAGUGCUGCAGAG